AGUGAACGCUGGCGGUAGGCCUAACACAUGCAAGUCGAACGGCAGCACAGGAGAGCUUGCUCUCUGGGUGGCGAGUGGCGGACGGGUGAGGAAUACAUCGGAAUCUACUCUGUCGUGGGGGAUAACGUAGGGAAACUUACGCUAAUACCGCAUACGACCUACGGGUGAAAGCAGGGGAUCUUCGGACCUUGCGCGAUUGAAUGAGCCGAUGUCGGAUUAGCUAGUUGGCGGGGUAAAGGCCCACCAAGGCGACGAUCCGUAGCUGGUCUGAGAGGAUGAUCAGCCACACUGGAACUGAGACACGGUCCAGACUCCUACGGGAGGCAGCAGUGGGGAAUAUUGGACAAUGGGCGCAAGCCUGAUCCAGCCAUACCGCGUGGGUGAAGAAGGCCUUCGGGUUGUAAAGCCCUUUUGUUGGGAAAGAAAUCCAGCUGGUUAAUACCCGGUUGGGAUGACGGUACCCAAAGAAUAAGCACCGGCUAACUUCGUGCCAGCAGCCGCGGUAAUACGAAGGGUGCAAGCGUUACUCGGAAUUACUGGGCGUAGAGCGUGCGUAGGUGGUUAUUUAAGUCCGUUGUGAAAGCCCUGGGCUCAACCUGGGAACUGCAGUGGAUACUGGAUGACUAGAAUGUGGUAGAGGGUAGCGGAAUUCCUGGUGUAGCAGUGAAAUGCGUAGAGAUCAGGAGGAACAUCCAUGGCGAAGGCAGCUACCUGGACCAACAUUGACACUGAGGCACGAAAGCGUGGGGAGCAAACAGG
Molecule: ribosomal RNA, 759 nt
Filed under: uncultured Stenotrophomonas sp.
Lineage: Bacteria; Pseudomonadati; Pseudomonadota; Gammaproteobacteria; Lysobacterales; Lysobacteraceae
Description: bacterial SSU rRNA
Rfam family: Bacterial small subunit ribosomal RNA
Source: RNAcentral